RNAcentral lists this ribosomal RNA (460 nucleotides) under uncultured bacterium. Its description in RNAcentral is "SSU rRNA". It matches the Rfam family "Bacterial small subunit ribosomal RNA", at positions 26 to 518 of the family's 1533-position model. The record is from RNAcentral.
AGAAUCAACGCUGGCGGCGUGCCUAACACAUGCAAGUCGCACGAGAAAGGGGAGCAAUCCCUGAGUAAAGUGGCGCACGGGUGAGUAACACGUGAAUGAUCUACCUCCGAGUGGGGAAUAACUGAGAGAAAUCUUAGCUAAUACCGCAUAACACUUACGAGUCAAAGCAGCAAUGCGCUUGGAGAGGAGUUCGCGGCCGAUUAGUUAGUUGGCGGGGUAAUGGCCCACCAAGACGAUGAUCGGUAUCCGGCCUGAGAGGGCGCACGGGCACACUGGAACUGAAACACGGUCCAGACUCCUACGGGAGGCAGCAGUGGGGAAUUUUGCGCAAUGGGGGAAACCCUGACGCAGCAACGCCGCGUGGAGGAUGAAAUAUCUUGGUAUGUAAACUCCUUUCGAUGGGGAAGAUUAUGACGGUACCCAUAGAAGAAGCCCCGGCUAACUUCGUGCCAGCAGCCGC